UUUAUAGUUUGUUAUAGGUUACUUAGGAACUGUUAUAAAUUAAUUAAGACUGAAGAAAAGAGAAAUGAAAAGAAAAGAUCCCGUUAAAUCUAAUUACUCCUAAAGUUCAUUAAAUACAUAAAUGACCUAGGUUUUAUGAAAUUUUGCAUGGAAUUAUUAUUUGUAAUUAUUUAGUUACUUUUAUUUUAAAUUAUGCACCGCUCACCAAUUCGCUUAGCACAUUGAUUUUCCAUCGCGUAAGUACUGGAGACCAGCCAUAGCCACAGCCGCAGCAGUGGUGCUUUGACGUAGUUUUGACUGGAUCUGCCAUAGUGUGAGAGUCACCUCUGUAUUUUGUUGGUAGGGCG
This 347-nucleotide unclassified non-coding RNA is filed under the name Hevea brasiliensis (rubber tree). Lineage: Eukaryota; Viridiplantae; Streptophyta; Magnoliopsida; Malpighiales; Euphorbiaceae. The record is from RNAcentral.